RNAcentral lists this ribosomal RNA (253 nucleotides) under uncultured Porphyromonadaceae bacterium. RNAcentral describes it as "partial 16S ribosomal RNA". It matches the Rfam family "Bacterial small subunit ribosomal RNA", at positions 524 to 776 of the family's 1533-position model. Lineage: Bacteria; Pseudomonadati; Bacteroidota; Bacteroidia; Bacteroidales; Porphyromonadaceae. The record is from RNAcentral.
UACGGAGGAUGCGAGCGUUAUCCGGAUUUAUUGGGUUUAAAGGGUGCGUAGGCGGACUCUUAAGUCAGCGGUGAAAGUUUGCAGCUCAACCGUAAAAUUGCCGUUGAUACUGGGAGCCUUGAGUGUAGAUGAAGUAGGCGGAAUUUGUGAUGUAGCGGUGAAAUGCAUAGAUAUCACGUGGAACUCCGAUUGCGAAGGCAGCUUACUAAACUACAACUGACGCUGAAGCACGAAAGCGUGGGUAUCAAACAGG